GGUGGGGUUCCUGAGAGGUCAAAAGGAGCAGACUGUAAAUUUGUUGGGCAACCUUCGUUGGUUCGAAUCCAACCCCCAUCA
This 81-nucleotide transfer RNA is filed under the name Candidatus Tremblaya phenacola PAVE. RNAcentral's name for it is "tRNA-Tyr (GTA) (tRNA-Tyr-GTA-1-1)". It matches the Rfam family "tRNA". Rfam says of the family: Transfer RNA (tRNA) molecules are approximately 80 nucleotides in length. Their secondary structure includes four short double-helical elements and three loops (D, anti-codon, and T loops). The record is from RNAcentral. Lineage: Bacteria; Pseudomonadati; Pseudomonadota; Betaproteobacteria.